UACGAAGGGGGCUAGCGUUGCUCGGAAUCACUGGGCGUAAAGGGUGCGUAGGCGGGUCUUUAAGUCAGGGGUGAAAUCCUGGAGCUCAACUCCAGAACUGCCUUUGAUACUGGGGAUCUCGAGUCCGGAAGAGGUGAGUGGAACUCCGAGUGUAGAGGUGAAAUUCGUAGAUAUUCGGAAGAACACCAGUGGCGAAGGCGGCUCACUGGUCCGGUACUGACG
This 222-nucleotide ribosomal RNA is filed under the name uncultured bacterium. RNAcentral describes it as "partial 16S ribosomal RNA". It matches the Rfam family "Bacterial small subunit ribosomal RNA", at positions 524 to 745 of the family's 1533-position model. The record is from RNAcentral.